AAAGGGGUACUUUUGCCGAAUAUUGGGGCAGAAGUGAAAUACUUGUAAUUUGAGAAGAAUAUAACUUGUUACUGGGUAAUAGACUCUCAAGGGGACCAAUAACAUCUAUCUAGGUAAGAUCUAGAAAGAAACAGUCAAUUAAAGACUCAACCCAAUGAGGAUAUAGAUCAAGGGGAGUGAAUUCAUCCAGAUAAUCAACUGGGGAGGAAGCUAAAAU
This 217-nucleotide long non-coding RNA is filed under the name Lathyrus oleraceus (garden pea). RNAcentral's name for it is "Pisum sativum (pea) long non-coding RNA (PSAT_LNC011688)". Lineage: Eukaryota; Viridiplantae; Streptophyta; Magnoliopsida; Fabales; Fabaceae. The record is from RNAcentral.